Molecule: non-coding RNA, 26 nt
Filed under: Mus musculus (house mouse)
Lineage: Eukaryota; Metazoa; Chordata; Mammalia; Rodentia; Muridae
Source: RNAcentral
UAGAGGACAACUUGCUGUUUGAUGAC